Molecule: ribosomal RNA, 253 nt
Filed under: uncultured bacterium
Lineage: Bacteria
Description: partial 16S ribosomal RNA
Rfam family: Bacterial small subunit ribosomal RNA
Source: RNAcentral
UACGGAGGGUGCAAACGUUGCUCGGAAUCAUUGGGCGUAAAGCGCACGUAGGCGGUCUCGAAAGUCAGAUGUGAAAGCCCUCGGCUUAACCAAGGAAGUGCAUUUGAAACUUCGAGACUUGAGUACUGGAGAGGGUCGCAGAAUUCUCGGUGUAGAGGUGAAAUUCGUAGAUAUCGGGAGGAAUACCAGUGGCGAAGGCGGGUCUCUGGGACGGUACUGACGCUGAGACGCGAAAGCGUGGGGAGCGAACAGG